This 643-nucleotide ribosomal RNA is filed under the name Acanthophyllum bungei. Its description in RNAcentral is "eukaryotic LSU rRNA". The stretch from base 246 to 400 matches the Rfam family "5.8S ribosomal RNA". Lineage: Eukaryota; Viridiplantae; Streptophyta; Magnoliopsida; Caryophyllales; Caryophyllaceae. The record is from RNAcentral.
UCGAAACCUGCCCAGCAGAACGACCCGAGAACGUGUUWAUCGAUUGUGGGAGUUGGGUACUGCAUGGUGCCUUGUGCGCCUUCUUGCCCCUCGCCCAAAGYCGGCGGGCGCUCACUUGUGAGAUGCUCUCGGCUAUGUAAACUAACCCCGGCGCGAAAAGCGUCAAGGAAUACAAGUAUAUUGCGCCUCGCCCUUGUCCGGUCACUCGGUACAGGRGUGAGUGCCAUGUCUCAAUAACAAUAAACGACUCUCGGCAACGGAUAUCUCGGCUCUCGCAUCGAUGAAGAACGUAGCGAAAUGCGAUACUUGGUGUGAAUUGCAGAAUCCCGUGAACCAUCGAGUCUUUGAACGCAAGUUGCGCCCGAAGCCUUCGGCUGAGGGCACGUCUGCCUGGGCGUCACGCAUCGCGUCUCCCCCCCAAACAAUCUUUGCUUUGAGGGGAAGGAGGAUGGCUUCCCGUGCCUCACCGGGUGCGGUUGGCCUAAAAUUGGAGCCCACGGCGUGCAGUCGCCGCGGCAAUAGGUGGUGAACAAGGCUUCGGCCGUGUAAACAGCCCGUUGCGGUGUGCAUGCGUGUGCUCGUCGGACCCUUUUUUGCUUUGCCUUGUGCAAUGCAAACCUUUGCGACCCCAGGUCAGGCGGGG